RNAcentral lists this ribosomal RNA (466 nucleotides) under Vreelandella stevensii. RNAcentral's name for it is "partial 16S ribosomal RNA". It matches the Rfam family "Bacterial small subunit ribosomal RNA", at positions 338 to 795 of the family's 1533-position model. Lineage: Bacteria; Pseudomonadati; Pseudomonadota; Gammaproteobacteria; Oceanospirillales; Halomonadaceae. The record is from RNAcentral.
CCUACGGGUGGCAGCAGUGGGGAAUAUUGGACAAUGGGGGCAACCCUGAUCCAGCCAUGCCGCGUGUGUGAAGAAGGCCCUCGGGUUGUAAAGCACUUUCAGUGAGGAAGAACGCCUGGUGGUUAAUACCCAUCAGGAAAGACAUCACUCACAGAAGAAGCACCGGCUCAACUCCGUGCCAGCAGCCGCGGUAAUACGGAGGGUGCGAGCGUUAAUCGGAAUUACUGGGCGUAAAGCGCGCGUAGGUGGCUUGAUAAGCCGGUUGUGAAAGCCCCGGGCUCAACCUGGGAACGGCAUCCGGAACUGUCAAGCUAGAGUGCAGGAGAGGAAGGUAGAAUUCCCGGUGUAGCGGUGAAAUGCGUAGAGAUCGGGAGGAAUACCAGUGGCGAAGGCGGCCUUCUGGACUGACACUGACACUGAGGUGCGAAAGCGUGGGUAGCAAACAGGAUUAGAUACCCCGGUAGUC